Molecule: ribosomal RNA, 914 nt
Filed under: uncultured bacterium
Lineage: Bacteria
Description: bacterial SSU rRNA
Rfam family: Bacterial small subunit ribosomal RNA
Source: RNAcentral
UGCAGUCGAGGGGUAUAGGUUUUCGGACCUAGAGACCGGCGCACGGGUGCGUAACGCGUAUGCAAUCUACCUUUUACAGAGGGAUAGCCCAGAGAAAUUUGGAUUAAUACCUCAUAGUAUUAUUGAAUGGCAUCAUUUAAUAAUUAAAGUCACAACGGUAAAAGAUGAGCAUGCGUCCCAUUAGCUUGUUGGUAAGGUAACGGCUUACCAAGGCAACGAUGGGUAGGGGUCCUGAGAGGGAGAUCCCCCACACUGGUACUGAGACACGGACCAGACUCCUACGGGAGGCAGCAGUGAGGAAUAUUGGUCAAUGGGCGCAAGCCUGAACCAGCCAUGCCGCGUGCAGGAUGACGGUCCUAUGGAUUGUAAACUGCUUUUGUACAGGAAGAAACAGUUCUACGUGUAGAACCUUGACGGUACUGUAAGAAUAAGGAUCGGCUAACUCCGUGCCAGCAGCCGCGGUAAUACGGAGGAUCCAAGCGUUAUCCGGAAUCAUUGGGUUUAAAGGGUCCGUAGGCGGUUUUGUAAGUCAGUGGUGAAAGCCCAUCGCUCAACGGUGGAACGGCCAUUGAUACUGCAAGACUUGAAUUAUUGGGAAGUAACUAGAAUAUGUAGUGUAGCGGUGAAAUGCUUAGAGAUUACAUGGAAUACCAAUUGCGAAGGCAGGUUACUACCAAUAUAUUGACGCUGAUGGACGAAAGCGUGGGGAGCGAACAGGAUUAGAUACCCUGGUAGUCCACGCCGUANACGAUGGAUACUAGCUGUUCGGAGCAAUCUGAGUGGCUAAGCGAAAGUGAUAAGUAUCCCACCUGGGGAGUACGUUCGCAAGAAUGAAACUCAAAGGAAUUGACGGGGGCCCGCACAAGCGGUGGAGCAUGUGGUUUAUUCGAUGAUACGCGAGGAACCUUACCAAG